UACGUAGGUGACCAGCGUUGUCCGGAUUUACUGGGCGUAAAGAGCGCGCAGGCGGUCGUUCAAGUCGAGUGUGAAAGCCCCCGGCUCAACUGGGGAGGGUCAUUCGAUACUGAUCGACUUGAAGGCAGGAGAGGGAAGUGGAAUUCCCGGUGUAGUGGUGAAAUGCGCAGAUAUCGGGAAGAACACCCGUGGCGAAGGCGGCUCUCUGGGACGGUACUGACGCUGAGACGCGAAAGCGUGGGGAGCGAACAGG
Molecule: ribosomal RNA, 253 nt
Filed under: uncultured bacterium
Lineage: Bacteria
Description: partial 16S ribosomal RNA
Rfam family: Bacterial small subunit ribosomal RNA
Source: RNAcentral